UGGUUUAAUUCGACGCAACGCGUAAGAACCUUUACCAGGUCUUGACAUCCGAUGCUAUUUCUAGAGAUAGAAAGUUACUUCGGUACAUCGGUGACAGGUGGUGCAUGGUUGUCGUCAGCUCGUGUCGUGAGAUGUUGGGUUAAGUCCGCAACGAGCGCAACCCCUAUUGUUAGUUGCCAUCAUUCAGUUGGGCACUCUAGCGAGACUGCCGGUAAUAAACCGGAGGAAGUGGGAUGACGUCAAAUCAUCAUGCCCCUUAUGACCUGGGCUACACACGUGCUACAAUGGUUGGUACAACGAGUUGCGAGUCGGUGACGGCGAGCUAAUCUCUUAAAGCCAAUCUCAGUUCGGAUUGUAGGCUGCAACUCGCCUACAUGAAGUCGGAAUCGCUAGUAAUCGCAGGUCAGCAUACUGCGGUGAAUACGUUCCCGGGCCUU
Molecule: ribosomal RNA, 437 nt
Filed under: uncultured Streptococcus sp.
Lineage: Bacteria; Bacillati; Bacillota; Bacilli; Lactobacillales; Streptococcaceae
Description: bacterial SSU rRNA
Rfam family: Bacterial small subunit ribosomal RNA
Source: RNAcentral